Molecule: non-coding RNA, 74 nt
Organism: Galeopterus variegatus (Sunda flying lemur)
Lineage: Eukaryota; Metazoa; Chordata; Mammalia; Dermoptera; Cynocephalidae
Source: the annotation of a RefSeq genome assembly
GGCCGGUUAGCUCAGUUGGUUAGAGGGUGGUGCUGACAACACCAAGGCCACAGGUUCGAUUCCUGAACCAGCCA